This 325-nucleotide ribosomal RNA is filed under the name uncultured eukaryote. Its description in RNAcentral is "partial 18S ribosomal RNA". It matches the Rfam family "Eukaryotic small subunit ribosomal RNA", at positions 1470 to 1796 of the family's 1831-position model. The record is from RNAcentral.
CCCUUAGAUGUUCUGGGCUGCACGCGCGCUACACUGAUGCGCUCAACGAGUUUUAACCUUGCCUGGAAAGGUUGGGUAAUCUUUUUAAAACGCAUCGUGAUGGGGAUAGAUUAUUGCAAUUAUUAAUCUUCAACGAGGAAUUCCUAGUAAGCGCGAGUCAUCAGCUCGUGCUGAUUACGUCCCUGCCCUUUGUACACACCGCCCGUCGCUCCUACCGAUUGAGUUAUCCGGUGAAUAAUUCGGACUGCGGCAUUGACCGGUUCCCGAUCGUUGCUGCGGAAAGUUUAGUGAACCUUAUCACUUAGAGGAAGGAGAAGUCGUAACA